This is a long non-coding RNA of Solanum pennellii, 4741 nucleotides long. RefSeq lists it as uncharacterized. Lineage: Eukaryota; Viridiplantae; Streptophyta; Magnoliopsida; Solanales; Solanaceae. The transcript has 4 exons. The record is from RefSeq and is a predicted model, not a curated record.
CUCUAAUCUUAUAUAUAUUUUUUGCAUUUAUUAUUUGUAAGUUGUUCUUAUUAUAUAUUAUUGUUCUUGUGAAAUUUCGUAUUUUAUAAUUUAUAGUUUUCUAAAAAAAGUGAAGGUAAAAUUGUUUUGUACAAUCAAUAAAAAAUAUAGUUACAAAAAAUAAUAAAGGUGCUAGUUCUUCAAAAUCUAAAUUUCAUCCUGUUAAAAUAAAUACUGAAUUUACACAUGUGAGUGAAACUAGUUUUUCCCGUUCCGGUCUUAUAGAAAUUAAUUCGAAUACUCCUAUAGUUUCCCAUUAGCUUUAUGAAAGACGUUAUGGUAAUAAUCAAAGAAAAUGAAGAAGUAAAAAUUGAUUAAGAAGAAGAUCUAGAUGAUAUACCGAUUAAUUCCGACUUCAAUAAUAUAUGUACUGAAGUUUCACCUCCGAUUGAAACUAUUCGUAUCCCUAUUGUUCCAACUAGAGUUAACACCAAGGUACAACGUCGUUCUUGCUUCCUACCUGGAAAAGGAAGAGCUCAGAACAAAAGUUUCUCCCCUUUUCUAUUCCUGUACUUGUAUAUCUUUUAGUAUUAAGUAAAGAAAUUAGUGGAUAAGUAUUCUGGAAGUUGUAGUGCUAGCGUUCAUAAUGUUUGCCUGUCUUUAAGUGUUUCUUACUUUAUCCUAUGCCUUGAUCCCUAAAUGUAGUGCCUUUCUCUCAUUAUCGCUAUGUAUUUGUCCAAUACACUUGACCCUCUACUUUGAUUGUUUAUUGCUAAACCUGUGGGAAUCUGGAACUGUAAGUACAUUAAUUGUGCUUGUUAAUCUCAACUCUGCAUUUUCCAAAUUAAUUUGCCUUUAGUUUUGAGAAGUAGUCCUGCUCUUACAGAUUCUCUGAAGUCUAAUUGUGGCCUACAAUAUCUUAUUAACCAGUCUUCAAGGAGCUAUGUUGUAACAAGUAAAAUUGAUAGCUGGAUAUUUAGAAGAUAUACAGAUAUCCAUGUGUUCUAUUACUGGAGUUUAAGGUCUAAAUUAUUAGUUAAAAUAUCACAAUGGAUAAUUAAUAGUUUACUGUUCGGAUAAAAUGUGAAAUUCUUGACGAUAUUCUGGCAAACACUCAUGAGCUAAAUAGUGUAGUUUGGAAACGAAAAGAAGCAAUUUCUUAGUAACUUUGUAUAUUGCAGUUUGAUGCUUAGAGAUACGGGGAAAGCCACUGAUUACACUAUCUAUUACUUUCUACAUGAUACUACAUCUCUCUCGAUAAUACUAGUAUGCAAUUUCCCAGUGAAGAUAGUAUAGGUUGCUAUACCAUAUGAGUCUGUCUAAUGUCUACCUUGUAUAAAUGUGAAACCUCUUGAUUUUUAGGUGGAUAGAGGGAAAAUUCCACUUUUUAUGUUGUGAAAGGAUUUUUGGAGAAACUGAUGAGAAAAUUCAUGGAUCAGGAAGCUUCUUGUCAGAGUUUCUUGAUGGCCUUAUAGUAUGAAACAAACUUCUUUAUACUUCCUUUUCUUAAUCUACUAUAUUUUCUUUUCUCUAAUUGCACUCAUGAAUUUCAUUGUUUGCGGGGUGGGGGGGUUGCGAGUUUGGUACGUAUGUCAUGUACCGUUUGCUCUAGUUAGACCGACAUAGCACACCUAGAUGAGUAUAUCCCAGGAUUUUCUUGCUCUUGUUUGGCUAUUUUUAGCUAUCAACCCACCACCGUUCUUCUCCUUUAUCUAGCUUGGAAAUUGACUAAAAGAAGUGCCUGCCUGAGAGUAGAAAACGUUAUAUGUUACCUCAAGUAAGACUGACAAACACCAGGUUAACAUGAAAGAAGUCUCAUAAGCUAGGGAAAAAAAAAGAAGAAAAAGUCCCAUAUAGCCUUUACUUCAAAAAAUCCUCUGCGUCUUUUUUUCCUUUAAUCUAAUAUCCAAAAAGGUGUUUUGGAACCAUUGAAAUAGCCUACUAGGAUCCAAAUACAAUAUGUUGAGUUCCAUAUCGGUGGAUAUGAGAAAAAUUGGUCUCUUUAUACGGUGUUGUACAAUCCUCACCUUAUGAGGUAGUUUUUGCCUUUUUAGAGUUGAGUUAGGUUCAAGAUCCACAUCUUUAUGGUAUCACAGCAGGUCCAUCCCAGUUUAUUGUUUACCUGAUGUUGGGCUCCCAUCUUACAUUGUCCACGCUCUAUAUGUUCAGUCUGCAAGGGGUGUUGAUCCCACAUAGGUGUGUAUGAGGAAAGUUGGCAUCUUUAUAUGGUCUAGGAUAAUCUCACCCUAUAUGCUAGUUUUGGGGUUGAGUUAGACUCAAGGUGUAUAUCUUUAUUAUCGCAAUAGAAGAAGAUAAAAUGAGGUUUCAAAUAUUCUGCAUAAAAUUUUAUCUGUCCUCUAUUGAGAUAAAACUUAGCUUGCAUCUCUAAUUAGGUAGCAGGGACUUGGACAUGAAUAUGACAUUUGCAUGAACAACAUGCCUACCUGAUAUAUUGGUAACAUGUAGUUUUCACUUAUCCCAUCAAAGGCUAUUAUUAAUGGAAAUGAGGUUUCUUGGGCUACCAAAAUAUUAUAAAACAAAUCCGUACCCCGAAAUUUUAGAAAUCUCUGCACACUGUUCGAAUCGUUGUUGAUAAUGGGCCUGCCCCUCUAUUCUUUUCCUGUAAAAUAUCAAAGUUUUGUGUGUGGCAGGAUUCGUACCUGUGAAGUGUGCCUAACCACACAUCAUCUGUUACACCUUUACCACUAGACCAGAGCCAUGUAAGUCCUUCCCCAAAACAUGAAGCUUAAUCAUUCUUGAAGGUCAGCUCAACCUGUUCAGCUUUUUGGUUCAAUCUCAUUUUCUCAUGCUCAAGAUUUUUUCGUUGCAUGUCAAGCUAUUUUCCCAAGAACUAACUCUAGAAACCGUUAAGACUUGUGGUUACUCUUUUGGAGGGUGGAGUUAUGGAGGAAGCUAUUGGAAAUAGAAGUUUGUCGACAUCUACAGCCUGUUCUUUUAUUAUUAGUGUGAGAGAGUUAUGAGUCAGUUAUGUCAUUCAAAAUCUAUAAUUUUUGGCUCUCUAUUAUAAGUAUUAGGUUCAACGCGAGCACUUUCAUACUCUUUUUUUUAUUGUCUUUAAGGUACCCUGUUCUAUACUAUGGAUACAAACAAUUUCUUAUCCAACAUACUCGGUUCCUGUGGAAGUACAGGACACAUUGAAGCAAGAACUUGGAUGGUUUUGUAGUGAUUUCUAUAGCACUAAUGAGCAAGAAAGCAUAUAUGUCGUUAGAAUCAGCAGCUUUUGUGCAGCUGAAUCAUGUGUUUCUUGCUAAAGGAAAUUUGCUCAUUAAAUAAGCAUUUUCAAUAAAGCUUGCACUAGAUUCUCACCUUUUUUGGGUUAGUCAUAUAAAUCGAAUCUUAUUGGUAAUGGGUUUGAUUCUUGAAUCUAGUCAAAAUUACAUAGGUGAAUGUAGAGAUCAGCAGUGUCCUACUUGAGACGAACCACUUGUCAUCUACAAACUGAAAGGGAAUAGAGAAAUAAGCUUGAGAAAGUGUUCUUCGAAGGGGGAACCUAUCCUCUCGUUGUCAAAGAGAACAUAAGUGAAAAUACACGACAGACGGAAAACAGAGAACAUGAUGUUUCCUAUUUUCUCUCCUUUGGGGCUUUGAGGAAAGAAAGCACUGCCAAAACCAAUAAGAAAGCAGAAAUUGUAUGAGGGAAGGUGAGGAAGGGUUUCGUUGCUAUGGGUAAAUGGAUGCCUGCUUAAAUAUCUAACUUCCACUUACUUUGUUCAUUAGAAAAGUGGUUUACCAGUCUAAGUUCAGUCAGCACUUUGUAAGGACUGAACAUAAAGUGUGUAUCAAAAAUUGUAUAGAGUUCCUCUGAAGCAACUGUUUGAUCUUGUCCUCAAUUACGUAACUCUGUCUACAUAAUCUCACAUGCGUUUGCACUUCACAUAAUCAUGCCAGUUUCACUACCUAAUGCAACCAUUUGGCGUUUUUACAUGUAAAUAUUAAAAUGCUUCCUCCUGCUGCUGUCCACUGGAAGAGAUUUUUCGAGACAACUACUUGUCAAAAAGGAAAAGUGGAAUAAUCUUUUUCAGGGCACCUUUCUUGUUAGAAACUGUAUCCUUCCACAGGUUCCACAUGCAAGGAUGUAUUAUCUGAGCCCCUAGAUUUUGAUCUUCUACACUUGAACAUCUUGAGCUCACACGCUAGGGAUUAAGCAUGGAGCGUGAACGCAGUCUUCUUUCAGUGGGAGAACUGGGAGGACUUUGCUAAUGUGAGGAAAUUGAUGAAUAAAUGUGGAGUGUUAAAGCAACCAGGAAGUAGUUGGAUAAGAUCCUAAUGGUUAAGCAGAAAUCCUCUCUACAACACUCAUCCUCAUACAUCUAAGUUGGUCUAAUUAACCGCCUCUCUAUAAAACUUAUCUUUCAGUUUCAAUGCUACGUUUUAAUCACACAAGGCUCCAGAGGGAAACCUCCACUUCUACAAUGUGUGAUAUCAUCGUCGAAGUCUCCACUCUCCAGGAUUAUAGACUCAAGAUACAUGAAUCUCUCUUUUGGAAAUAUUUUGUGUGUCAAACCUCACUUUCAUGUCUACCUCAUGCAUCACAUCAUUGUAUUUUCACUUCACACAUUAUGUCGGCCUGCUCAACCUGAACCCUUCAGCCUCCAAGAUCCACUAAGAUCUAUUUAGUGGUAUUUAAAUAAAUAAAAGAAUAUGUAAUAAAUAUGUCCAAGAUCCACUAAGAUCUAUUUAGCUGUAUUUAAAUAAAUAAAAGAAUAUGUAAUAAAAAUGAGUUAUGUUAUGCAAGUUAAAA